This 439-nucleotide ribosomal RNA is filed under the name uncultured bacterium. RNAcentral describes it as "partial 16S ribosomal RNA". It matches the Rfam family "Bacterial small subunit ribosomal RNA", at positions 338 to 795 of the family's 1533-position model. The record is from RNAcentral.
CCUACGGGGGGCAGCAGUGGGGAAUAUUGCACAAUGGGCGAAAGCCUGAUGCAGCAACGCCGCGUGAGCGAUGAAGGCCUUCGGGUUGUAAAGCUCUGUCCUCAAGGAAGAUAAUGACGGUACUUGAGGAGGAAGCCCCGGCUAACUACGUGCCAGCAGCCGCGGUAAUACGUAGGGGGCUAGCGUUAUCCGGAAUUACUGGGCGUAAAGGGUGCGUAGGUGGUUUGAUAAGUCAGAGGUGAAAGGCUGCGGCUCAACCGUAGAAAGCCUUUGAAACUGGGGGACUUGAGUGCAGGAGAGGAGAGUGGAAUUCCUAGUGUAGCGGUGAAAUGCAUAGAUAUCACGAAGAACACCGAUGGCGAAGGCAGCAUACCGGCUCCACACUGACGCUGAGGCACGAAAGCGUGGGUAUCGAACAGGAUUAGAUACCCCUGUAGUC